This 441-nucleotide ribosomal RNA is filed under the name Streptococcus sanguinis. RNAcentral's name for it is "bacterial SSU rRNA". It matches the Rfam family "Bacterial small subunit ribosomal RNA", at positions 50 to 474 of the family's 1533-position model. The record is from RNAcentral. Lineage: Bacteria; Bacillati; Bacillota; Bacilli; Lactobacillales; Streptococcaceae.
AAUACAUGCAAGUAGAACGCUGAAGAGAAGAGCUUGCUCUUCUUGGAUGAGUUGCGAACGGGCGAGUAACGCGUAGGUAACCUGCCUGGUAGCGGGGGAUAACUAUUGGAAACGAUAGCUAAUACCGCAUGAUAUUAAUUGUCGCAUGAUAAUUAAUUGAAAGAUGCAAUUGCAUCACUACCAGAUGGACCUGCGUUGUAUUAGCUAGUUGGUGAGGUAACGGCUCACCAAGGCGACGAUACAUAGCCGACCUGAGAGGGUGAUCGGCCACACUGGGACUGAGACACGGCCCAGACUCCUACGGGAGGCAGCAGUAGGGAAUCUUCGGCAAUGGGGGGAACCCUGACCGAGCAACGCCGCGUGAGUGAAGAAGGUUUUCGGAUCGUAAAGCUCUGUUGUAAGAGAAGAACGGGUGUGAGAGUGGAAAGUCACACUGUGACG